GAUGUGGUUAGUGAUGCAUACGCUUUUUUCCCCGUCUUAUCGACCAUGGUGAAAAGCUGCUGAUAAGCCAGUUAUGUCUGAAACCACAUC
Non-coding RNA from Oryzias latipes (Japanese medaka), 90 nucleotides. Lineage: Eukaryota; Metazoa; Chordata; Actinopteri; Beloniformes; Adrianichthyidae. The record is from Rfam.